This 253-nucleotide ribosomal RNA is filed under the name uncultured bacterium. RNAcentral describes it as "partial 16S ribosomal RNA". It matches the Rfam family "Bacterial small subunit ribosomal RNA", at positions 524 to 776 of the family's 1533-position model. The record is from RNAcentral.
GACGAAGGGGGCUAGCGGUGCGCGGAAUCACUGGGCGUAAAGCGCACGUAGGCGGAUUCCUAAGUCGGGGGUGAAAUCCUGGAGCUCAACUCCAGAACUGCCUUCGAUACUGGGAGUCUCGAGUCCGGGAGAGGUGAGUGGAACUCCGAGUGUAGAGGUGAAAUUCGUAGAUAUUCGGAAGAACACCAGUGGCGAAGGCGGCUCACUGGCCCGGUACUGACGCUGAGGUGCGAAAGCGUGGGGAGCAAACAGG